GUCCUCACAUGCAGCUCAUGACGUACCUUUAUUUCUAACACAUUUUCCCAACUAUAUAAUCCUAAUACAUGAAGCUGUCACUAAAACCCAGAGCUCCGGCUCGGUGGGACUUCAGGGUCACUACGACUUUACUUUUGCCCUCUGCUUCAGAGUUGGUUUUUUGGGGGGAGAUUUUUUUUCCUCGGAUGUAUUUUGGGGGGAUUUUUUUUCUUCCUGAUUUAAAAAUUGCGGGAAAUUCAAUUUCUUAUUUUGCUCUCCAAAAACUUUUUCUCAGUUAUAGGACAUGCCUUACCAAAUUUUCGUAACUCCCAGGGUGUUCCUUUCCAGUCCAAUCUAUCCGUUUGGGUAACAGCUGGAAACGGAAAACAUUGUUAUUCGACUCGGGUUGAAUUCUAGGAAGGUCAAGGAUGCAGGUCUACAUUGGGAUGCACAUUCAAAAACCAGUUCACACACUCCAGACGAUUUAGAGAUGCUAAUCAGCCUACAAUGCUUGUUUUUGGACUCAGCGAGGAAACUGGAGAACCCAGAGAAAACCCUCGACGCACUGGGAGAACGUGGAAACUUCACACGCUUAUGGCAGAGGCAUGCUGAUUUCUGAUCCUGUAAAAUUUCUAAUCUGCUCUAGCUCCAGUUAGAACGUAUGAUUUCGUUGUUUACGAGACCACCUAUGUCACCUAUGUGAUCUCAAUGACAUGACAGAUAACGAUGAACACGAUCAUGCAUGUUGUAGGUUAUUAAUGUUCCGUGUUACACAAUAACAACAACUUCAAACUGAACGUUACAUGUUUAUUUAUGGAAAGUAUGGUGCAAUUUACACACCGCUAAUUGGUCUCGUAAACACUGAUUUAUAUCACAGGUAAAUCAGAUGCCAGCUUAAGAAGGACAAGGGAAUAGGAGAAGAAGGAGAAGAAAAAGAAGAAUGUUUAUAAGUAAGUGCAUUCUACAAACCACUAAUUGGUCUCGUAAACACUUUGAUUUAUAUCAUAGACAAGUCAGAUGCCAGCUUAGGAAGAACAAAGAAGAAGGAGAUGAAGAAAAAAAGAUGAUGAAGAAAAAGAUAAGAAGAAGAAGAAUAUUAAGAAGAAAAAGAUGAUGAAUGAUAAUAAUAAUAAUAAGAAGAAAAAGAUGAGGAAGAAGAAGAUAAAGAAAAAGAGGGAGUAGAAGAAGAAGAAAAAGAUGAAGAGGAGGGAGAGGAAGAAAAAGAAAAAGCUGAUGAAGAAGAAGAACAAAAAGAUGUAGAUAAUAAAGAAGAAAAAGGUGAUGAUGAAGAAGAAGUAAAAGAUAAAGAAGAAGAAAAACAUGAUGAUGCUGCUGAUGAUGAUGAUGAAGAAGAAGAGGAAGAAGAAGAAAAAGAUGAUGAAGAAUAAUAAUAAUAAGAAGAAAAAGAUGAAGAAGAAGAAAAAGAUAAUGAAGAUGAUGAAGAAGAAAAAGAGGAAGAACAUAAAGAAGAAGAAGAUGAGGAGGAAGAAGAAGAAGAAAAAGAUGAAGAAGAAGAUGAGGAAGAAGAUGAAGGAGAGGAAGAAAAGAUGAAGAUAAAGAAGAAGAUGAGGAAGAAAAAGAAGAAGAAGAUGAAGGAGAGGAAGAAAAGAUGAAGAUAAAGAAGAAGAUGAGGAAGAAAAAGAAGAAGAAAAAGAUAAAGAAGAAUAUGAGGAAGAAGAAGAAGAUAAAGAAGAAGAUGAGGAAGAAAAAGAAGAAGAAAAAGAUAAAGAAGAAUAUGAGGAAGAAGAAGAAGAUAAAGAAGAAAAAGAUGAAGAAGAUAUAGCGUAAAAAGAUGCAGAAGAUAAAGAAGAAGAUGAGUAAGAAGAAGAAGAUAAAGAAGAAAAAGAUGAAGAAGAUAUAGAGUAAAAAGAUGCAGAAGAUAAAGAAGAAGAUGAGUAAGAAGAAGAAGAUAAAGAAGAAAAAGAUGAAGAAGAUAUAGAGUAAAAAGAUGCAGAAGAUAAAGAAGAAGAUGAGUAAGAAGAAGAAGAUAAAGAAGAAAAAGAUAAAGAAGAAGAUAAGGAAGAAAAAGAAGAAGGAAAAGAUGAUGAAGAAGAAUAAAAAGAUGCAGAAGAUAAAGAAGAAGAUGAGUAAGAAGAAGAAGAUAAAGAAGAAAAAGAUAAAGAAGAAGAUAAGGAAGAAAAAGAAGAAGAAAAAGAUGAUGAAGAAGAAGAAAAAGAUGAAGAAGAUAAAGAAGAAAAAGAUGAAGAAGAUAAAGAAAAAGAUAAGGAAGAAAAAGAAGAAGAAAAAGAUGAAGAAGAAAAAGAUGAAGAUAAAGAAGAUGAAGAAGAAGUUGAGCAAGAAAAAGAUGAAGAAAAUGAAAAAGAAAAAGAUAAGGAAGAAAAAGAAGAAGAAGAAGAAAAAGAUGAAGAAGAUAAAGAAGAAGAAGAAGAAUGUUUAUGAGUAAUCCUACACUCUCCUCCUCAGAUACUCUAUUGAAGAAGCUGAAGGUAUAGAAACAUUUACUCUUACUGUGUAUUCAGUAUAAUCUCUUAUUAACAGAACAUCAUAUAAAAGCAGAGUCACUCUCACAGUCCUGCUGCAGUACUGAACAUCAGCAUGGCCAUGAUUACCUGCGACUGAUACAAACACCAUGACUGCAUGUGUGAUUAAAUAUAACCUGCCUGAAGUGUUCUUCUCAGCAGGAGCCGGAGAGCGUCUUCGGCUGGCUAGGAUCGGAUCGGAUCGGAUCGGAUUGGAUGUGGCUUAGCAAGGAGUAGAAGAUUCACGCAGUCACUCUGAGAGCAUCUGUGAGAUGAAACAUCUCAGCUGUCAGAUAAUAAUUUGUAAAUGGAAGUUAAAUAUGCAGUAAAUGCAGUAAAUCUGUGUAACGUUCAUAUACCCGGCAAAAAACAAGCUUCUUAAAACUUUCUGUAUAGUAGACUAUAUUCUGCCAUCAUAUUAUCUGACAUGUGGAGAUACCCAGGAGUCCAAAAUAAAUAUGUAAUUAAUUAAAUAUAGCUGGCCAUGAACACUCACCAAAGACACUUUCUCUGUUGCCUACAUACACUAUAUUUCCAAACGUUUUAGGACAUCUGCCUUUACAUGCACAUGAAUGUAAUAUGGAGUUGUCCCGCGCUUUACAGCUAUAACAGCUUCAACUCUUCUGGGAAGGCUUUCCACAAGGUUUAGGAGUGUGUUUAUGGGAAUCUUUGACCAGCGCAUUUGUGAGGUCAGACACUGAUGUUGGAUGAGAAGGUCUGGCUCACAGUCUCUGCUCUAAUUCAUCCUAAAGGUGUUCUAUCAGGACUCUGUGCAAGUUCCUCCACACCAAACUCACUCAUCCAUGUCUUUAUGGACCUUGCUUUGGUCACUGGUGUGCAGUCAUGUUGGAACAGGAAGGGGUCAGCCACAAACUGUUCCCACAAUUUCAUGGAAGCAUGAAAUUUUUCAAAAUGUCUUGGUAUGAAGCUGAAGCACUUUCACUGGAACUAAUGGGCGAAGUCCAACCCCUGAAAAACAACACCUGAAUUCAAUGAUUUAGGGGGGUGUCCCAAAACUUUUGGCAAUGUAGUGUACUUUGUAAGUAGCUAAACCUUCUCACUUUACUUAGAAACAUCUCUCUACAGUUCUAAAGCUCAUUUCUGACUUCUUGUCCGAUUUCAAGUGUAAUUCAGGUAGUUCAUAACUGCAUGUGACGUGUGUGUGUGUGUGUGUGUGUGAAACCAGGCCUGUUUUACUGCAACAGAAGGAAAGCUCUUAUUUCGUUUUUGCUUCUGCUCUUCGUGUCUGAGUCUCUCAGAUGUAAACGCAUCUUGCUCAGACUCUGAACUGAGUUUCACUCCUGAUAUAAGUAUUACCGCAUUCUUUUGUGAAGUUCAGUCUGACUCACAGUGGUGGUGAGCAGUUCGAGACAGGACUGUUAUGAGACAUGAUAACAUACAGGGAGCUCUCGAAUGAUUUUAACGGACUGUACGCUCUCAGACAAAAAGCCACCAAGCUUUAUCGUUCCUAGCUGCUUUAUUAUUUGUUCCUUUUAGUACGUAUCUCUCACCUGGAAAAGGUGGAUACACCUUUUAGAGGAAAGAUUCAAUAAAUGCUAUAUUACUUUCUAAUUGAAAAGAAACCUUUAGAGACUUCAGCGACUAUUCCUAGAGUGUUUUAGUGUGUGUGUGUGUGUGUGUGUGUGUGAGAGAGAGAGAGAGAGAGGGUUAGGAUUUAAACCGAAAGCUUUAAACCUGAAUAAACACCCACUGAUCUCUCUGAAAUCACAUUAAACAUAUUAUUUUUAUUGUCAUAUUAUUUUUAUUGUCAUGUUAUAUUAUUUUUAUAUUUACUGUCAGGAAAGCAGUGAUGUGUAGUGGCUUGGCUCAACCACUGGAGGUCAGAAACACUCCAAAGUGCCUGAUAAGGGGUCAAAGGUUACCAAGCCUAGCAGGUAAAGUCUUUUUUUCCUAUGUUGCUUUAAUGCGAUAUGAAGUCAUGCUUCAAUUCUGUAUCCUGUGAGUAGUGAGUCGAUUGCUUGUUUUCGGAGACUUUAAAAAUCCCACGUGUCGGGUCACGUCAGGUCACGUCUCAACACCAUGCUGUGGUUGAUUACUUUCCUAUAACUGCAAGUGCUUAAGGUUGGCAAAAACUUACAGCUUGAAUUUAAUUAUAAACCAACACACUGUACACACUUUUAUGUUAUGGAAUGUUCACAAAACCAGUUAUCACUUACGUUACAGUUAUCACUACGUUACUAUAGCAACAGUACGUUAAAAGUGCAUUUAUAUUAACUUGUGAUUUGUCAUAAAACCUGCGCUACUGUACAUCCAGCUUCUGACCAAUCAAAUCUGAGCACACUGGUAUACACCAAUCAGGCAUAACAUUAUGACCACCUGCUUAAUAUUGUGUUGGUCCUGCACUGUGUAUUCUGACACCUUUCUAUCAGAACCAGCAUUAACUACUUCAGCAGUUUGAGCAACAGUAGCUCAUCUGUUGGAUCGGAUCACACGGGCCAGCCUUCUCUCCCCACGUGCAUCAAUGAGCCUUGGCCACCCAUGACCCUGUCACCGGUUCACCACUGUUCCUUCCUUGGACAACUUUUGAUAGAUACUGACCACUGCAGACCGGGAACACCCCACAAGAGCUGCAGAUUUGGAGAUGCUCUGAUCCAGUGGUCUAGACAUCACAAUUUGGCCCUUCGUCAAACUCGCUCAAAUCAUUACACUUGUUCAUUUUUCCUGCUUCUAACACAUCAACUUUAAGGACAAAAUGUUCACUUGCUGCCUAAUAUAUCCCACCCACUAACAGGGGCCAUGAUGAGGAGAUCAUCAGUGGUUAUAAUGUUAUGCUUGAUCAGUGUAAAUAUUCAGUUACUCAAUUAUUCAGUUUCUACAACACCCACAUUUUUAACUGCUGAGAAAUCUGUGAAUAAGCGAACUGGAAAUGAUACACAACGUGUUUGCUCACAACACACACACAUUUUCUUAAACUGGUGUUUCAUGGCCUGUAUUUUGCAUAUUGGAUGUCUUUGCUUUUGUUUAAUCCUGUAAUAUCUCUUGCUCUCAUUAAAAUCAUGGCAGGUUUCAGGUCUCGGUUCCUUGAAGUAACACAACCUAAACCAGUACAGCGACAGUUUCUCACUUUGACUAGGAAGUUAAUUCCACUCGAAUGAAAUGACGUGGCUUUGUGUCGCAGUUGUAACCAGGAAGACCAGUUAGGUCAAAGUUUCCUAAAGUGAUCAAAAUACAUGACUCCUAUACAUAACCACACAAAAUGGUGUAGGCUGCAAGCACGUGGGGUUGUACGGCACAGUAUUAAGAGAGUGUUGUUAUGUUAUGAAGGGUUUAGUCAUGUAUUAUAGAACAUAGUCUGCAGUGAUUGUGGGAUUUGUUUUGUUUGGUUUUUAAAUAAUAUGAAAGAGCAAUAUUCAAAGGCUGAUAAUAUAGAUUUGUGUCAGAGAUUUAGAUAGAUAGAUAGAUAGAUAGAUAGAUAGAUAGAUAGAUAGAUAGAUAGAUAGAUAGAUAGAUAGAUAGAUAGAUAGAUAGAGGGGCAGACAGACAGCUAGCUAGCUAGCUAGCUAGCUAGAUAGAUAGAUAGAUAGAUAGAUAGAUAGAUAGAUAGAUAGAUAGAUAGAUAGAUAGACGUGUUAGUGUCACACAGAGGUGUGCGGUUGUACAAUCUUAUUUCACCUGGAGUUUGAGUGAAUGUAACUCAGUGUGAGAAUUUUAUUUUUUAGCACAAAAGCUACAGCUUCAACCCCAAUCCUGUCCUGUUAGGGUCAGAGUAGCUUCCUUAUCAUUACAUAAUAAUCAUUAGUUGGUCAUACUACUACUACUACUACUACUAAUAAUAAUAAUAAUAAUAAUAAUAAUGAUAUUAAUAAUAAUAAGUAGAUGAAGUAUGACGUUAAAGGUUCAGGUUAAUUUAAAAGUAUUUUUUUUGUUUUUUUGGAGUCAGAGGAGAUCUCUGACCAAUGCGUCAUUAUAGCAAACCAGCAGGACUUCCUGUCCCCUCUUCCCAACCGUCUGAUAUAAUUAUACAGGCUAAGAUCUAUAACACGAAACCUAGAGCAAUCUGAACAUCUGUUUUCUGGCUUAUGUAGUAAUUAGAGAGCGUUAAAUACAUAUUCUCAGACACAAUACAUAGACUGUGGGUGAUGUCACCGUUUAGUCCUAAAUGUUUAAGUGUGAAAAACCUUGUGCUUUGGCUUGUGUGUGUGUGUGUGUGUGAGAGAGAGAGAGAGAGAGAGAGAGAGAGAGGGAGAGAGAGAGUGUGUGUGUGUGUGUGUGUUUGUGUCUGUGUGUCAGAGAGAGAGAGAGAGAGAGAGAGAGAGAGAGAGAGAUAGAUAGAUAGAUAGAUAGAUAGAUAGAUAGAUAGAUAGAUAGAUAGAUAGAUAGAUAGAUAGAUAGAUAGAUAGAUAGAUAGAUAGAUAGAUAAACUUUAUUGAGCCCAUGAGGGAAAUUCUUUUGUUACAGCAGCAUAGUUGGUUACUGAGAGAGACAGAGAGAGAGAGAGAGAGAGAGAGAGUCAGGUCUUGAAGGGUUUGGAAAUAAAUAGAUGCUAGUGUUGUAGAGCAGCAGAAAGAACAAUGUCUGCUAUUAAUAUAGGGGAUAUGUGUAUGGGAGAUAUGUGUAUGGGAGAUAUGUGUAU
Molecule: RNA transcript, 7053 nt
Organism: Hemibagrus wyckioides
Lineage: Eukaryota; Metazoa; Chordata; Actinopteri; Siluriformes; Bagridae
Gene name: protein FAM133A-like
Exons: 2
Source: RefSeq, a predicted model, not a curated record